This 331-nucleotide long non-coding RNA is filed under the name Elaeis guineensis (African oil palm). RNAcentral's name for it is "long non-coding RNA (EGUI_LNC074552)". The record is from RNAcentral. Lineage: Eukaryota; Viridiplantae; Streptophyta; Magnoliopsida; Arecales; Arecaceae.
CCGACUGGCACUAUUGAAGGUUGAUGGCUGGAGAGGUACGAAAGACACUGGAGGCGGUUGGUCGUUGUAGAGAUCCGACUGCUGGAGCCCGUCCGUUUAGAAGUUCGUCCAGAAUCCAUCCACUAUGGAAGUUCGGACGGAGUCCGAUUCUUAUAGAAGUUCGGAUGGAGACCGCUCAUCGUAGAGGCUCGGUUGAAGUCUGGAGUAGACCGCUUGGGAGACGAUCGGUCGUUGUAGAGAUUCGACUGCUGGAGCCUGUCCGUUGUAGAAGUUCGUCCGGAAUCCAUCCGCUAUGGAAGUUCGGAUGGAGUCCGGUUCUGGUAAAAGUCCG